AUUGAACGCUGGCGGCGUGCUUAACACAUGCAAGUCGAGCGGUAAGGCCCUUCGGGUACGACGAGCGGCGAACGGGUGAGUAACACGUGGGUGACCUGCCUCUAGCUCUGGGAUAAGCCUGGGAAACUGGGUCUAAUACCGGAUAUGACUCCACGGCGCAUGUUGUGGGGUGGAAAGCCUUGUGUGGCUAGAGAUGGGCCCGCGGCCUAUCAGCUUGUUGGUGGGGNGAUGGCCUACCAAGGCGACGACGGUAGCCGGCCUGAGAGGGCGACCGGCCACACUGGGACUGAGACACGGCCCAGACUCCUACGGGAGGCAGCAGUGGGGAAUCUUGGACAAUGGGCGCAAGCCUGAUCCAGCCAUGCCGCGUGAGUGAAGAAGGCCUUAGGGUUGUAAAGCUCUUUUACCA
RNAcentral lists this ribosomal RNA (409 nucleotides) under uncultured bacterium. RNAcentral describes it as "bacterial SSU rRNA". It matches the Rfam family "Bacterial small subunit ribosomal RNA", at positions 28 to 441 of the family's 1533-position model. The record is from RNAcentral.